AUUGUAACAAAAUAAAAUGACUACAAACUACUAUCAACAAGAAGAAAUAGAGUUGUUCAACAAGGCAAUCACAUAUAGGGGCCUAUCUUGGUGUAAUAAAUAUACAUGCAAAGUCUUUGUGCUUAUAGCUGUCAAUUAAAUGAGAGAUUAUUGUAGUGUCUAUUUGCAUAACGAGACUUUGACUAAAUCCAAACAGAUAUAUAAGUUUGUUUAUAUCCCAUUAAUGCACUAAUUAUUGAAUGUUUGAACAGAUAAAAAUAGAAGAAUAUUCAGCUUUUUCGACUGCUUGAAAAGCAUGAUUGCUCCAUAGACAAAUAUGGUGUUAGAAAUUUAUUCAACCUUCCUAUUAAAACUUGCAGAUUUUCGGAGGGCCAUUUAGAAUUUGGAAGUCAUCAAGUAACUUUACAAGUUUGAGCUGCAAAUGRGAUGGAACCACAACAAGACCAAUUAAUGAUUCUUGGCACAUUGCACAUGUAGAGAGAGCAACCAAGUUGUGGAUAUUCUUGCAACUUUGAUGUGACAACAAGGAAAAUUGUUUUUUCUWAUUUGUAAUCAAUGCAUGACCGACCUCUUGAGGUAUGUAUUGCAGUAAAAGAAGAUUUUCAUCUGGAUGCCUAAAAUUAGGCAUUCUUGGGCAAAUCUAAAUGUUUUGUAAAAUGGAAGUUUGAACUAUAACUUGUUUCUUUUUCUAUUGCUUUGGUUGCCCCGCUGUUAAGAGGUAGCUAAAAGGUCUAUGUUUAUGUUCCCCUCUCAAAUAGGGGUUUGUAUGAAGCUUUCUCUAGUUGACUUUGGCUCUUGGCUGGAAGAUGGGUAGGGGAGGUUCAAGUCACCUAGAAAUUUGGUUGCAAACUUGCUGGUAGAAAUUUGGAUCUGCUUGAGACCUUUUAUAACCUAGCCUUUUAGUUGUAAAAAACCAUCUGAGAUGCACUAUGUUUUAUGGUAGAAGUUUAGUUAUUUGCUUA
Non-coding RNA from Nelumbo nucifera (sacred lotus), 962 nucleotides. NCBI's taxonomy places the organism in Eukaryota, Viridiplantae, Streptophyta, Magnoliopsida, Proteales, Nelumbonaceae. The record is from RefSeq and is a predicted model, not a curated record.